UUCCCCUAGCGAUCUCACGCACGACGGCGCCGACUCCUGAUCCGUUUUCUCCUGUUGCAGCCGCCUCUCCCAAUCCCUUCUGCUGCUGCUUCCGUUGAUCCCCAUUGCAGCCACAGCAGCCAACCCCCACCACCAUGAUGCGAUUUAGAGAGAGGAGGGGAGACCGAGCACCUCCGCAUUGGUGGCGAGGCUCGGCGGGAUGGAGGAGUCGUCAGUCCGGGGCUCCUCCUUGACGAUGAAGAUCGUUGCUGCCGGAGUUGGCAAUGGGAGCGGCGUAACCGGCGGUUCUGGUGCAGACGCCGUUCUUGGAGGAGUCCGGCAGCGACGAGUCCACCGGCGACGAGGCCGCCGAGGUCCUGUGGUCCUGCGGCGACGAAUCCACCGAGGUCCUUUGGUCCAGCGGCGACGGCCAAGGUAAGUUCGCCGGCGGCGAAGUGCUCCGUGGCAUAGGAACUCGAAGAGAUUAGUGAAGAUCGGGGGCAGAUCGUAGAUUGCCAUCUUUUUCUCACCUUUCUUCUUCUCUGUUCUUGUUCUUGCUCUUUGAUUCUUCUCGCUCUAUUCUUGCUCUGUAACGGCAGAGUCUAGCGUGCAUGAUAACGUGUUGUGAAAUGAAUCUGUGUGCGCGAAUGAACGGUUACAAGGUUAACUGCCUAAUUAACUAAUAAUUAAUCCUAAUUGAUCAUAACUAAUUAUUCUCAACAAAAGCAGCUGUGUAUUCUGUAUGUAUACUGACUGUUGUUCCUUUUCUCAUCACUGCCACAAAUUCUGAAUAAUCUAUCCUCAAGUCCUACAUGUGCCAGUCAAGAAAUAAUUUAGUUUCUUCCAAAUACAUGUGCUAUCAAUUCUGUAUCUCUUUUUUCCUAAUAAAAUGAAUCUGUGAUGUGCAACAUUGCAUCUGACUUAUAUAUGCAGUGAGGCUACAUAGCCCUUUUUCCUGUUGCGUUGUCGAUCACAGUUGGCUCCAGAGAUGACCUCAUUGAAUUCAUUAGCAUUGUUGCUUAUUUGUUGUUGGCCAACUCACGCCCUGUUGUCGAAAUAGAUGUAUCGAGGUCAUAUUGUCUUUCGGGUCAACAACACAGUCAGAAACUGUUGCUUGGCAUUACUCACCUCUAGUGCCUUCCUGUUUUCAUCUAUAAUUUUCCUUUCCAG
Molecule: long non-coding RNA, 1149 nt
Filed under: Brachypodium distachyon (stiff brome)
Lineage: Eukaryota; Viridiplantae; Streptophyta; Magnoliopsida; Poales; Poaceae
Description: long non-coding RNA (BDIS_LNC004765)
Source: RNAcentral